Molecule: long non-coding RNA, 1971 nt
Organism: Oncorhynchus tshawytscha (Chinook salmon)
Lineage: Eukaryota; Metazoa; Chordata; Actinopteri; Salmoniformes; Salmonidae
Source: Ensembl
GCUAGUUUUACCCAACACAUAGACACGGCUAGUUUUACCCAACACAUAGACACGGCUAGUUUUACCCAACACAUAGACACGGCUAGUUUUAGACACGGCUAGUUUUACCCAACACUUAGACACGGCUAGUUUUACCCAACACAUAGACACGGCUAGUUUUACCCAACACUUAGACACGGCUAGUUUUACCCAACACAUAGACACGGCUAGUUUUACCCAACACUUAGACACGGCUAGUUUUACCCAACACAUAGACACGGCUAGUUUUACCCAACACAUAGACACGGCUAGUUUUAACGUGAUAUUGCGCUCCAAAGGGAUAACUUUAAAUGACAUGUAGGUUCAUGAAAUAAUUGAAAGAGAACUGUGUGAUGGUUUAUUAGCCUAGUGCUUGUAAGUAUUAAGGAAAUCAUUCUCCAAAGUACAAGGUGUACAUUAUUAUGGGUUGAUCGUAUAGAAAUAUCAAACAUUCUUUCAACUCCAAAGCAACAGCCUGUCUAUGGUGCAGGAAGCACUGCCCUUUUCUACGACCAAGACAUCUGUUGGUAACUCUAAGCUUGUUAGGACAGCUCAUGGGGUCUCCUAAAUAUCUCUUGACUAGGUGGGGGACUGUUAUGACUAAAUAAGCUUCCUGCAUAGCUUUUAUUGUUACCCAUAAGAGUAGGAGUGAAAUGUCUCUUAGCACCUACGACCAAAUGUUUUACUCUGAGAUGCUUUGUGGAUACAGCCCCAAGGCGCAUAUUCAACAAGUGCAUCCGAGUAGGAGAUCUAGGAUCAGGUCCUCCCUGUCCAUAUAAACCUUGUGCAUUAUGAUUUAAAAGCCAAACUGAUCCUAGAGGCUCUUUGUGAUAUAGGCCCAGAAAGGGAUUGUGAUCAUUAUGUGGCUCAAGAUGUGGAUCAAUAACAAAUCAUUUACUUGAUAGAAUUCCUUUGUUUUGUUCAAUCAAACGGAGGCACAAGUAGAUUUGGUUUAAACGUAACACUGAGACAUCAGCUGUCCCGAACUGAGACAUGGAAAAUGUGUCAUUGAGCUGUUGUCUGUUCUGGUUUCUUUUUAUUCUGGGGUCAUGUCAUAUUUUCACAGGUAUGAUUCUGAUUGAUGGCUUUUAUAUAGGUCUGCAGACCUCAGCGUUUCUUAUUGGACAAGACCAGGUAGUCCCUCCCUGUUUCAGUCCAUUUUCUACCAUUUGCUGCCUAAUGAAUAGGGGUCUCUGUUCCAGUAUCCUUUAAUGUCACUAUAGCAUACCACUUAGAAUGUAUGCCCAAUAAAAAUGUACGUUCUAAGUAGUGUGUAAAUUUGGACAUCGGUUGAAGCGUCCUACACAGGCUCUGCAGGAGUUCACCCAGGUCCUACACAGGCUCUGCAGGAGUUCACCCAGGUCCUACACAGGCUCUGCAGGAGUUCACCCAGGUCCUACACAGGCUGCAGGAGUUCACCCAGGUCCUGCAGGAGUUCACCCAGGUCCUACAGGAGUUCACCCAGGUCCUACAGGAGUUCACCCAGGUCCUACACAGGCUCUGCAGGAGUUCAGCCAGGUCAAGUCGGGCACCACGUCUUUGACCUACAACCAAGCAGACUCAGCCAAGGGAGGAAAAGCAUGCAGACAGUUUUUUUGCAUAAUACAAGCAGGUUGAUGUGUGUAAUCUCUGGAUAAUCUGUAGCCAUUUUAGUAUUCUUCUCAGUGACAACUCAGCCUCCUGCAAUCCUCCCAACAAUAGACAAUCAACCGAGAAUGUCUCUAUGUACCCAUAUGUCUCUCUACCACCAGUAGUGUAUUGUCCAUGUCAUGUAAUAAAAUGGGGUCAUAUAUUGGGGGGUGUAUUUUACAUGGAUCUGCUUUGAAACACUACGCACGCCAUCAUGAUUGAGGUCCUUAUUUUUUCUAAAAGAGUUAUUGUAAAUAAAGAACCAUGAGUGCGGUACAUGUCUCAGCUGAUCUUUUAAAACUUGUCCUGUAUUCAUAAACCGUC